ACCGCUGUCAAGUCUUAGGAGAAAGACACUUCCAGACCGAGACUCUACCCUAGAAGACGAGCUUUCUUCUCUUACGCAAUUGUUGACUACCUAGAAAGAUUUUUCACUUCACACUUUCUAUAUAUCUGUUUUCAUCAAAUCAAAACUUUCAUUUAGCUCUGAGCGAGAGCCAAAAGCAUUCUUUUCUACUCUCUUAUGAAAUUUCACGAAUUGGAGUUAGCGUCACAAAUCGACUGCUAAUCUUUUCUCAAGUCAAGGAAAGCCCCUUGAAUUGGAAUCUUUCA
This 284-nucleotide unclassified non-coding RNA is filed under the name Hevea brasiliensis (rubber tree). Lineage: Eukaryota; Viridiplantae; Streptophyta; Magnoliopsida; Malpighiales; Euphorbiaceae. The record is from RNAcentral.